ACUCUUCAUCAACAAAUAUCAGCAAACAACAAAAACACGAUAUACAAUACCGCUAUCAACCAAAAUCAAACCCGACCUAUCAACGACGGCUCCAACCCGCAGUACCUCCGACCCGUCUCCAACGUCGACCCAAGCAGCUCUGACCUAGCACCGGUGAGCCAACGGCGACCCGAUUCAACGCUAACAGUGGAGAACCCCAAAACCUGCGACCCAAUAUCAACGAAACAACCCGAAUCAAUUGCAAAAUGACGCUGCAAUAGCCAGUAAAAGCUAUCCAUUUGAUUUUCAAAAUCUAAUACCAAAAUGGUACGAUUACAAAUUGUCCUUAUCCCUUUUAUCAACAUUUGAAAUUAUUCCCUUCGAAAAAAUCGAAAAUUGCCCCCUGAUUUCUCCUAUCCCACAUCGAUGGAAACAAAGGGUUGAGCCCAAAAUCCCCUCUUUUUAGUACAAGUCUUGGAGGGGAGAAAAACCUUUGAGCACAAUUCAGUCUCUUUUUAGUAAAAUUUUAUUUUUGUGAAAUUCGUUGGCGUGUUGACGACGACAAUGUUUUCUGGUGGUUGAUCCCGACGAAGUUCGUGGUCACGUUUUACUACCUCAAAAGAGUCCACAAUGAAUUCCCUCCCAUUCCAUUUUCGAAUGGGCCAAUAAGGCCCAUUGCCUCAAAGUUCAAGACAAAAAUCAAUCUCAUGGAAUAUGGAUACAACGAGUUGAAA
This is a long non-coding RNA of Capsicum annuum, 713 nucleotides long. RefSeq lists it as uncharacterized. The record is from RefSeq and is a predicted model, not a curated record. The transcript is spliced from 2 exons. Lineage: Eukaryota; Viridiplantae; Streptophyta; Magnoliopsida; Solanales; Solanaceae.